CCUACGGGUGGCUGCAGUCAAGAAUCAUUCACAAUGGGGGCAACUCUGAUGGUGCGAAGCCGCGUGGGGGAAUGAAGGUCUUUGGAUUGUAAACCCCUGUCAUGUGGGAGCAAAUUAAAAAGAUAGUACCACAAGAGGAAGAGACGGCUAACUCUGUGCCAGCAGCCGCGGGAAUACAGAGGUCUCAAGCGUUGUUCGGAAUCACUGGGCGUAAAGUGUGCGGAGGCUGUUUCGUAAGUCGUGUGUGAAAGGCGCGGGCUCAACCCGCGGACGGCACAUGAUACUGCGAGACUAGAGUAAUGGAGUGGGAACCGGAAUGCUCGGUGUAGCAGUGAAAGGCGUAGAUAUCGAGAGGAACACUCGUGGCGAAGGCGGGUUCCUGGACAUUAACUGACGCUGAGGCACGAAGGCCAGGGGAGCGAAAGGGAUUAGAUACCCCUGUAGUC
This 446-nucleotide ribosomal RNA is filed under the name uncultured bacterium. RNAcentral's name for it is "partial 16S ribosomal RNA". It matches the Rfam family "Bacterial small subunit ribosomal RNA", at positions 338 to 795 of the family's 1533-position model. The record is from RNAcentral.